This 561-nucleotide ribosomal RNA is filed under the name uncultured Bacteroidota bacterium. RNAcentral describes it as "bacterial SSU rRNA". It matches the Rfam family "Bacterial small subunit ribosomal RNA", at positions 9 to 569 of the family's 1533-position model. The record is from RNAcentral. Lineage: Bacteria; Pseudomonadati; Bacteroidota.
GAGUUUGAUCCUGGCUCAGGAUGAACGCUAGCGGCAGGCCUAACACAUGCAAGUCGAGGGGCAGCACGUCUUCGGAUGGUGGCGACCGGCGCACGGGUGCGUAACGCGUAUGCAACCUACCUCUUACAGUGGGAUAGCCCAGAGAAAUUUGGAUUAAUACCGCAUAGUAUAAAAGAUCAGCAUUGAUUUUUUAUUAAACAUUUAUGGGUAAGAGAUGGGCAUGCGUUCUAUUAGCUAGAUGGAGUGGUAACGGCACCCCAUGGCUACGAUAGAUAGGGGCCCUGAGAGGGGGAUCCCCCACACUGGUACUGAGACACGGACCAGACUCCUACGGGAGGCAGCAGUGAGGAAUAUUGGACAAUGGGCGAGAGCCUGAUCCAGCCAUGCCGCGUGCAGGAAGACGGCCCUAUGGGUUGUAAACUGCUUUUGUACGGGAAGAAACACCCCCUCGUGAGGGGGCUUGACGGUACCGUAAGAAUAAGGAUCGGCUAACUCCGUGCCAGCAGCCGCGGUAAUACGGAGGAUCCAAGCGUUAUCCGGAAUCAUUGGGUUUAAAGGGUC